RNA transcript from Cinclus cinclus, 4117 nucleotides. It is a transcript of the gene named splicing factor proline and glutamine rich, with no coding region annotated. The transcript has 10 exons. NCBI's taxonomy places the organism in Eukaryota, Metazoa, Chordata, Aves, Passeriformes, Cinclidae. The record is from RefSeq and is a predicted model, not a curated record.
CCGUUCACCUAGCCGCCAUUUUGCGCACCGGGCGCUGAGCAGCAGCAGCCGCCGCGGCCGGAGCUCUCUUCUCAUCUCCGUCUCUUCCCUCCGCUACACCAUGUCGCGGGAUCGCUUCCGUAGCCGUGGUGGCGGUGGAGGCGGCUUUCAUCGGCGUGGCGGCGGUGGUGGCCGCGGCGGCCCCAACCACGAUUUCCGCUCGCCGCCGCCCGGCAUGGGCAUGGGACAGAACCGCGGCCCGAUGGCGGGCGGCCCGCAAGGCCCGGGCGGUCCGCCGGGAGGAGGCCCGAAACCCGAACCUCCGAAGCCGCCCACGUCCACCUCUGCUCCGCCUUCUUCAUCCUCCUCAGCCUCCGCCACCACGGCGGGACCCACCGGCAGCCAGGCGGGAGCGCCUCCAUCAUCUGCGCUUCCUGCGGGGCAGCAACCACAGCAGCAGCCGCCAGUUUCGGCUCCUUCCUCGUCUCCCUCCGGUCCACAGCCGCAAACCAAGCCCAGCCCUAGCCCCACGCCGGCCGGCGGCCCUAAGAAAGGACAAGGACAGUCUCCUGUCGGUGGCCCCAAGGGGCCAGGGGGCCCGCAGCAGGGGCCGCACAAGGGCGGCCCAGGGCACCGCGGCGGGCCGGGCGGGGAACCGCGGGGCCGCGGGCAGCAGCACCCGGGCCAGCAGAGCCUUGGUACACAGCAGGGCUCAGGAGAAAGGAGUGAGAAGCUGUCGGACGAGGGGUUUAAAGCGAACCUCUCUCUGCUGAGGCGACCUGGGGAGAAGACGUACACACAGCGCUGCCGGUUGUUUGUUGGGAAUUUGCCUGCUGAUAUCACAGAUGAAGACUUUAAAAGACUGUUUGCCAAAUACGGGGAGCCAGGAGAGGUGUUUAUCAACAAGGGGAAAGGCUUUGGAUUCAUUAAAUUGGAAUCUAGAGCUCUUGCGGAAAUCGCAAAGGCAGAGCUGGACGAUACCCCCAUGAGGGGCCGGCAGCUCCGUGUUCGCUUUGCCACUCAUGCCGCUGCCCUGUCCGUGCGGAACCUCUCACCCUACGUAUCCAACGAGUUGCUCGAGGAAGCUUUUUCCCAGUUCGGUCCGGUGGAAAGAGCUGUUGUGAUUGUAGAUGAUCGAGGUAGAUCAACAGGAAAAGGCAUUGUUGAGUUUGCAUCAAAGCCAGCUGCAAGGAAAGCAUUUGAACGGUGUACUGAGGGAGUGUUUUUGUUGACAACCACUCCCAGGCCAGUUAUUGUGGAGCCAUUGGAACAACUGGAUGAUGAAGAUGGUCUUCCAGAAAAGCUUGCUCAGAAGAAUCCAAUGUAUCAAAAGGAAAGAGAGACUCCUCCCCGUUUUGCUCAGCCUGGCAGUUUUGAAUUUGAAUAUUCCCAGAGAUGGAAAUCUUUAGAUGAAAUGGAAAAGCAGCAGAGAGAGCAAGUGGCAAAAAAUAUGAAAGAUGCCAAGGACAAGCUUGAAAGUGAGAUGGAAGAUGCUUAUCAUGAGCAUCAGGCAAACCUCCUGCGUCAAGACCUCAUGAGGCGCCAGGAGGAACUGAGGCGUAUGGAAGAACUCCAUAAUCAGGAAAUGCAGAAACGCAAGGAAAUUCAGCUGAGGCAGGAGGAGGAGCGUCGCCGGCGGGAGGAGGAGAUGAUGAUCCGUCAGCGGGAGAUGGAAGAGCAGAUGAGAAGACAGAGGGAAGAGAAUUAUAGUAGAAUGGGUUACAUGGAUCCAAGGGAGCGAGACAUGAGAAUGGGUGGUGCUGCCACAAUGAACAUGGGAGAUCCUUAUGCUUCAGCAGCCCAGAAAUUCCCACCUCUGGGAGGUGGUGGCGGCAUAGGUUAUGAAGCUAAUCCAGGAGUUGGCCAAGCAGCCAUGAGUGGUUCUAUGAUGGGAAGUGACAUGGUAACGUAUCCUGUGGUGGCUUUAGCUUAGCACAAGGGAGUUGUUGUGGUUGGGAAUGAGUUCUCCAGUGUUUGGAUGAUUGUGGAAAUGUCACUGUUAACUGCUGACUCUCUUGUCAGGUGUUUAACACAGGACAACGUGGCAGUGUGUAGCACUAGAGUAGUUGAUAUUCUUUAUGGUAGCUUACACACUCAGAAAUUGUAAGUGAAUUCAAAUGUGCUCUUAAGCAUAUUUGCAAUUAACUGACUUCAUUGGACUUUGGAAAUUCUGCGUCACUGUUAGGCUUGGAAGGAUUUUUAUGAAUUCUAGAGAAUCUGACAAAUUUCAUCAAAAUGCUUAAUGUGGUAGCUUUUCAGUAAUUUGAUGUUCUGUAUUGAUGGACAAGAGAGAUUUUUUUUUUUGGUUCUCCUUCCCAAUGUGUAACACUGUUUUGGCCCUUCCAAGCCUAGGUAGGCUGGAUGCAUGUUGGUCUGGGUGUGCUGUUUAGUCCAAAAUCUGCGCUCAGGUCUGUUCCAGCAGCAGAUUAACUUAAGUAAUCAGUGGUAAACAGCAUAUCCCUUAGUCUGUGCUGAUGUUACUGUGGAAGAGCAGAAAUGCUGGUUUUUAGCUUCAGGCAUGUUCCAGCUAUCCUGGACUGUGUAGCCAUUUGUAGUUCCUGUCUCCCAAAGGAACGUAGCCCGGUCUGUUUUCCUGUGUUGGGCAUGACACAAAGGUAGAGCCCGUUAAAGCUACAUCAUAUCUCCUGUUCUGAGGUAUGUUUCCAAACUGUACUAAUUUGUGGCACACUACAUGUGUGACUGGGCUUUGGACACUGAAGCACCACGGAUGCAGAUUACAGAAGUGCUUAAUGGGCAGGAUGGGAAUCUGUUGGCUUAGGUGACGAUACCAGUGUGCUUUCACCCUCCUGAAAGGGUGUACACUUGUAGCACAAGCUGAACUAAAUGAUUUUUGGGUGGGUUUAGGCCUCUGGCUUAAUGAGCUGAGCUACCAUAGUAGCUUGUCAGAUAUCUUCUGUUUUAUCUUUUUGGGGAACAUAUCUUUGGAAUGGUGACUUCAGAGAACAUCAUUGAUUCGGUAGACAGUGCUGUUGGCCUUAAAGUAUCUCAGUAACCUUACUGAUAUGUAAGCAGUUUCUGAGCUUCCUGUGAGCAGUUAGGCAGUGUGUGCUGGAUACUAUAUACAUUUUUCUCCUGAGAAUCACGGUGCAGGUGCAUGUUGAACUUGUGUAAUAUAAAUAUGGUCUGGUCAAAAGAUGUGACAGUGAGUUGGAUUAACUUCCUGGAGUUUCUUAGGCUGGGGAUCUCUGCCACACAAUGCUGUCACAGUUCUUGGGCUGAUAACUUUAAACAGAACUGGAGAUGAGUUGAAGCUGCCAUGAAUUAGGCAGAAAUAACCUAAGUAAUACUUCUGGAACUCCUUUCUUGGAAGGAUUGAUGCUGACUUUCACCAGUCAGAAGCUCUGAAGUGUGCAUUUUCAGUUGCAGAUACUUUUUGUAACAAACCAGCUACCAUUAUUCUGUGACUCGGUAGUGGGAACCUUGGUUGAAAUGGAAAUUUAAAGCUCUCUUUGACAUCAUAAUGUGUAAGUUCUGUAGGUUGAAUGCUGAUCACACCUAGUAAUGCAGUAACUGAACAAAGUACAUGCAACUAGAGGUACUAGUAAAUAGACCUGAAGUCUCUGCUUUAUUGCAGAGUAACUUAUCUCUUAACACUUUGGUGUGAAACCUUUCAACUGCUGUGAAACUGUGAAUUUUCCAAGAGCUUGUGGUGAAGGUGGGGCGGGAGGGGAAGUACUGCCUGGAUGCACACAACCCUCUGUGCAUAGCUCUAACUGGAAACGCUGAGUGCUUGGAACACGUUUUGCAUCUGAUGCAGCCACCGGCAGCUCCGGAGUAUGUUGGGUUGGAACGAGUGCCAGACUUGGCUUGAGCAGUUGCGUUGGUUAGGUAAAGCACUGGUCAGUAGCUUUUUUCACAUUUUUUUUUUUCUUCUUGCAAUGCAGUAGUGCUCACAAUGAGUUUUGGUACUGCCAAAGGCCUCUGCAGUUUAGUCAGCAGACCGUAGUCUUAACCCCAUCUUGAAAAGCACAUGGUCUCUAGACAGCACAUGCCAGUCCUGCGUCCUGAACGCUUUGGGCAGGGAGGUGCGGGGCCCGUGGGUGGCCAGGGUCCUAGAGGAAUGGGGCCUGGAACACCAGCAGGAUAUGGUAGAGGGAGAGAAGAAUAUGAAGCCCCA